RNAcentral lists this unclassified non-coding RNA (290 nucleotides) under Hevea brasiliensis (rubber tree). Lineage: Eukaryota; Viridiplantae; Streptophyta; Magnoliopsida; Malpighiales; Euphorbiaceae. The record is from RNAcentral.
CAUUAAACCCCAAACCCCACUCUUCCUUUUAACUAUCCCUGCUUUAAAACCUCAUCAACAACCCCUCGCUCCCUCUCUCUGGUGGGAAAAGAAAGCAAAAGAAGGGGAGGAGAGAGAUUUUCGAUCAAAUUCUCAGAUCUCUCUCUGCACGAGUUCAAGACCUUUAAUCGCUUUAUCAAAUAACCAAAAUGGGCCAGCAAUCGUUGAUCUACUCAUUCGUUUCAUGUGGAAAUGUGAUUCUUGCUGAGUACACAGAAUUCGGUGGCAAUUUCAAUUCCAUAGCGUUUCAG